CUAUUCUAUGGGCAGGCCAGGUUGGUGCAAGGCAGCUUUGCCAGAUUUAGUGUGUUUCACCCUCGUUGAAUUUUAUAUCUUAUAAAAUCGUAUAAUUUUUUUUUUAGAUUAUUAACAUAAUGGUAAGAAAAAGAGGAUGCAUAUUACAAUACUAUUUUUGCGUUGUAUGAAAAUUUCUGUUGCUCCAUAUACAAUUUUUAGUCAAGGCCCCCCGCCCCUCUCUGGUCCAUGGUGUCCCCUCUUUACCAAUCUGAAAAUCUGGUCACCUUAUACAAGACUUACAAGCGCUGCCUGGUGGGAAGAUGCCCCAUUCUGAAUUUUGCUAUCUUUUUCCUUCCAUUUUUCUAUUGUAUAUUUUUUAACAAAAUAGUUUCAAUGAUUUUAUUGUUAUUUUAUUUUGGGGGCUUAUUGGGGGGUUGUUGAUGUUCCAAUUUUAAUGGCAGCUACAUACAUUGAAUAUAUCACUAAAUAAAAUGUGGUUAACGGAUUUCUUGACUUGAAGUUUCAAUUCCCCUCCCACAAAAGGGGAAGCCUGUUUACAGUGAUAACUGCGGACAACGAGAUACAUUUUGAAAAAGUUGGACAAAGUUUCUUUGAAAUGUGUCACAAGAUUGUUCUCCGACUCUGCUUCUCAGUGCUUUUCUUAAGAGCUGGAGACUGGUGAGGCCCCGCCUCCCCUGCCUCUAGUGACUGCACGUCCCUGGUUCUAGCGGGUCCCUUUCUCUCCUUUGGGGGAACGACAAGGAGGCGGUGCCUGGAGAGGAGGGGCUGGGAAAUGGAGCGCCUUCACUUUCGGAACCAGAGAGCUGACGGAAGGAGCGGUUUUCUUCGGAGGCGGAGAAACCGGAAGACGACGGAGGAGCCCGGCGGGGGAGGGAAGGAAGGAAGCG
This is a long non-coding RNA of Thamnophis elegans (Western terrestrial garter snake), 890 nucleotides long. RefSeq lists it as uncharacterized. NCBI's taxonomy places the organism in Eukaryota, Metazoa, Chordata, Lepidosauria, Squamata, Natricidae. The transcript has 3 exons. The record is from RefSeq and is a predicted model, not a curated record.